UGAUGGGUUAUUAUUCUAAUCCCAUUUAUAUUUUAUUGGGCCAGUUUAAUUCAUCACUUGGGCCGAGUUUUAUUUAAUUUUAAGCUCAGAAUAAUUCAUUCUAUUCUUGGGCUAAUUUUAAAUUAUGGACUGAAAUUUUAUUUAGUUGGGCUUUACAUGAUUUAUUUAUUUGAGCCCAACAGACCUUAUUUUAAUAUCGGCCUUAUUAUUUUAUUUCUUUGGGCCGAGGCUUAUUUAAUUGCAGCUGGGCCUUGCGUACUUAUUUAACUUAGCCCAGCUAUUCAUUAUUUAUUCAUUGGGCCAAGAUUUAUUUAAUUACUUAAGCCAAUGAAUUAUUUCGAUUGGGCUUUCGUACUAUUUAUUCAGGCCCACUUCUACUUAAUUAAUUAUCAGGCUGCCUUGUUGAGCCUCUUAAUUAUUGAGCUUAUAUUAUUGUUUCCUUAAGGCCAAAUAUUAUUUUGAGCUACCAUUAUUUAUUUGAGUUAAGCUACUCGUUUUAUUUAAUUAAUUGGCUACUCUCUUUUGAGCCUAUUAAUUAUUUGAGAUUAUAUUAGUAAUUAUGUUUCUAUCGAAAAGCCCGAUAGUUUCUACAAGGUCACACCUCGUUUAAAGCCGAGUUAGUCAUUUUUCAAUCAAGUACAAAUGCGAGAUUUAUUUCACAACUAGAAUAUUACGAUGAGGAAGGAAGAAGCACAACUUUAUUCGACCGCGUUAGACGAGAAUUAGUUAAAUCUAUUAACAAGGAUUAAUAGUAGAAUUCCCGAUUAUCGCUCAAAAGAUUAGAUCAUGCAUACCAGAUUCAUGCAUAGUUAAAUUACGCUUUCUCAUUAAUUAAGAAUUUUCCUCGAGGCAAUGUCUUAUUUUAUAUUCUCGUGAUUAAGGUCAAGCGCGAGAGUAAGAACUACACAAGGAGUUAGAGUACCUUAGCAAAACUUUGCUAUCAGGUUGAGUUGUGAUGGGCGAUGAAGUGUUGCUGAGUGGAGUUUUUGUUGAACUUAAAGUAGGCUCAGAAAGGAUACAUGUCUUCAUACAUGUAUCUCAGUUAUGCAUUCCGCUGUAAACACUGAUUAUUUCAGUUACACCUUCCGUUGCAAACUCUGAUAAUGUUUUAGCCAAGCCCCUAACGAUGCCUUUUUCCUUUUAAGGAAUAUAACGCUUAUACAAGUUCGUUGAGUACCCUUUUUAUGCGAACUAUGCCUUUUUCCUUUUUAAGGAAUA
Molecule: long non-coding RNA, 1218 nt
Organism: Salvia miltiorrhiza (redroot sage)
Lineage: Eukaryota; Viridiplantae; Streptophyta; Magnoliopsida; Lamiales; Lamiaceae
Exons: 2
Source: RefSeq, a predicted model, not a curated record